This is a non-coding RNA of Cajanus cajan (pigeon pea), 119 nucleotides long. NCBI's taxonomy places the organism in Eukaryota, Viridiplantae, Streptophyta, Magnoliopsida, Fabales, Fabaceae. The record is from Rfam.
AGGUGCAAUCAUACAAGCACUAAUGCAUCAGAUCCCAUCAGAACUCCGCAGUUAAGCGCGCUUGGGCGAGAGUAGUACUACGAUGGGUGACCUCCUGGGAAGUCCUCGUGUUGCACCUU